GAGUCCCCUUCACGUCGAAGGCGUGGGAAAGGGCGCGCGGGGGAAGCUGGGAAACUCCUGUCCUCGGCCACCAUCUUGCUUUCCUUCAAGCCGGCGGGUCCUGUGGAGCAGAGCAAUCUUGAGCCAUGAAGCUGCUGAGGAGAGCCGGGUCCCUCUCGAGAUUUUAUUCCCUGAAAGUUGCUCCCAAAGUGAAAGCCACAGCUGCCCCUGCAGGAGUGCCUUUACAUCCUCAGGACCUUGAGUUUACCAAAUUACCAAAUGGCUUAGUGAUUGCUUCUCUGGAAAACUAUGCUCCUGCAUCAAGAAUUGGUUUGUUUAUUAAAGCAGGCAGUAGAUAUGAGGACUCCAACCACUUAGGAACCUCUCAUUUGCUUCGUCUUGCAUCCAGUUUGACUACAAAAGGAGCUUCAUCUUUCAAGAUAACCCGUGGAAUUGAAGCAGUUGGUGGUAAAUUAAGUGUGACUUCAACCAGGGAAAAUAUGGCCUACACUGUGGAAUGCCUGCGGGAUGAUGUUGAUAUUCUAAUGGAGUUCCUGCUCAAUGUCACCACAUCACCAGAAUUUCGUCGUUGGGAAGUGGCUGCCCUUCAGUCUCAGCUAAGGAUUGACAAAGCUGUGGCUUUUCAGAACCCACAGGCUCAUGUCCUUGAAAAUUUGCAUGCUGCAGCUUACCGAAAUGCCUUGGCUAAUUCCCUGUACUGUCCUGACUACAGGAUUGGAAAAGUGACACCAGAUGAGUUGCAUUACUAUGUUCAGAACCAUUUCACAAGUGCAAGAAUGGCUUUGAUUGGACUUGGUGUGGGUCACCCUGUUCUAAAGCAAGUUGCGGAACAGUUUCUCAACAUGAGGGGCGGGCUUGGUUUACCUGGUGCAAAGGCCAGAUACCGUGGAGGUGAAAUCCGAGAGCAGAAUGGAGACAGUCUUGUUCAUGCGGCUCUUGUAGCAGAAGGUGCUGCCAUAGGAAGUACAGAAGCAAAUGCAUUUAGUGUUCUCCAGUAUGUCCUUGGUGCUGGACCACACGUCAAGAGGGGCAGCAAUCCCACCAGUUCCCUAUACCAGGCUGUUGCCAAGGGAGUUCACCAGCCAUUUGAUGUUUCUGCUUUUAACGCUAGUUACUCUGAUUCCGGCCUCUUUGGGAUUUACACUAUCUCACAGGCUGCUGCAGCUGGAGAUGUUAUCAAGGCUGCCUAUAAUCAAGUAAAAACAGUUGCUCAAGGAAACCUUUCCAGUGUAGAUGUCCAGGUUGCCAAUUACCUGCAAUCAACCAUGGUCUGAAAGCAGGUGAUCCUCCUCCUGACUUAUUGUCAGGUCACUAGUAGCUGAACACUAUGUCACAGCACAUCUAUGUCCCUCAUCUCACUUCAUCUCAUCACAUAGGCAUUUGGUCAUCUCAUACAUCACAAGAAGAAAGGAACAAGCUGAAAGCUGCCUACCUAAUGUCAGUGGAGUCUUCUGAGGGGUUCCUGGAUGAAGUCGGGUCCCAGGCGCUGGUUGCUGGAUCGUACACGCCGCCAGCCACGGUCCUUCAGCAGAUUGAUUCCGUAGCUGACGCUGAUAUCGUAAAUGCUGCAAAGAAGUUUGUUUCUGGCCGGAAGUCCAUGGCAGCAAGUGGAAAUUUGGGCCAUACACCUUUUGUUGAUGAGUUGUAAUACUGAAACACAUCUUUCAGGGAAGAGCUGAACGUUUUCUCAACCCAGAGCAGAAAACACAUGAAAGUCAAAAAUCUCUAAUAUAACAUUUAUCUUUUUUUUCCCCAAUGAGAUGAAAUGUCUUAGAACAUAAAUACAGGUUUUUGUUCCCAACUGACUUAAAGUCAAUAAAACAUUCUGUUUAAAUGUUUUUCUUGCAUCUUUGCAAUUGGCUAAUAAAGUAUUUAUUAUAUGCUGA
This is an RNA transcript of Canis lupus familiaris (dog), 1886 nucleotides long. It is a transcript of the gene named ubiquinol-cytochrome c reductase core protein 2, with no coding region annotated. NCBI's taxonomy places the organism in Eukaryota, Metazoa, Chordata, Mammalia, Carnivora, Canidae. The record is from RefSeq and is a predicted model, not a curated record. The transcript is spliced from 15 exons.